RNAcentral lists this ribosomal RNA (406 nucleotides) under uncultured bacterium. RNAcentral's name for it is "partial 16S ribosomal RNA". It matches the Rfam family "Bacterial small subunit ribosomal RNA", at positions 30 to 526 of the family's 1533-position model. The record is from RNAcentral.
AUUGAACGCUGGCGGCAGGCCUAACACAUGCAAGUCGAACGAGUGGCGGACGGGUGAGUAAUGUCUGGGAAACUGCCUGAUGUAGGGGGAUAACUACUGGAAACGGUAGCUAAUACCGCAUACCAUCGGAUGUGCCCAGAUGGGAUUGGCUUGUAGGUGGGGUAACGGCUCAACUAGGCGACGGUCCCUAGCUGGUCUGAGAGGAUGACCAGCCAAACUGGAACUGAGACACGGUCCAGACUCCUACGGGAGGAAGCAGUGGGGAAUAUUGCACUAUGGGAGCAAGCCUGAUGCAGCCAUGCCGCGUGUAUGAAGAAGGCCUUCGGGUUGUAAAGUACUUUCAGCGGGGAGGCGUUACCCGCAGAAGAAGCACCGGCUAACUCCGUGCCAACAGCCGCGGUAAUUC